UCCAGAAGAGAAUAGAUUGAAAA
Molecule: non-coding RNA, 23 nt
Filed under: Mus musculus (house mouse)
Lineage: Eukaryota; Metazoa; Chordata; Mammalia; Rodentia; Muridae
Source: RNAcentral